This 326-nucleotide unclassified non-coding RNA is filed under the name Caenorhabditis elegans. RNAcentral describes it as "Non-coding transcript of protein-coding gene rpl-30". Lineage: Eukaryota; Metazoa; Nematoda; Chromadorea; Rhabditida; Rhabditidae. The record is from RNAcentral.
AUGUCAAGAAAAAUGCUGAGAACAUCAACUCCCGACUCUCCAUGGUCAUGAAGACUGGACAAUACGUCCUCGGAUACAAGCAGACUCUCAAAUCCCUUCUCAACGGAAAGGCUAAGCUUGUCAUCAUUGCCAACAACACUCCACCACUCAGAAAGUCCGAGAUUGAGUACUACGCCAUGCUCGCCAAAACUGGAGUUCACCACUACAACGGAAACAACAUUGAGCUCGGAACCGCCUGUGGACGUCUCUUCCGUGUGUGCACCCUUGCAGUCACUGAUGCCGGAGACUCCGACAUCAUCCUCAGCGUUCCAUCUGAGAGCGCAUAA